CCCUUAGAUGUUCUGGGCCGCACGCGCGCUACACUGAAGGGAUCAGCGUGUUUUCCCUUUCCGAGAGGAACGGGUGACCCGCUGAACCCCCUUCGUGGUAGGGAUCGGAGCUUGCAAUUGUUCUCCGUGAACCAGGAAUUCCCAGUAAGCGCAAGUCAUAAGCUUGCGUUGAUUACGUCCCUGCCCUUUGUACACACCGCCCGUCGCUACUACCGAUUGAACGUUUUAGUGAGGUAUUUGGACUGGGCCUUGGGAGGUUUCGGCCUCCCUUGUUGCUCGGAAAGACUCCCAAACUUGAGCGUUUAGAGGAAGUAAAAGUCGUAACA
Molecule: ribosomal RNA, 326 nt
Filed under: uncultured eukaryote
Lineage: Eukaryota
Description: partial 18S ribosomal RNA
Rfam family: Eukaryotic small subunit ribosomal RNA
Source: RNAcentral